CCGAGUUUACAACUCCCAAACCCCUGUGAACAUACCACUUGUUGCCUCGGCGGAUCAGCCCGCUCCCGGUAAAACGGGACGGCCCGCCAGAGGACCCCUAAACUCCGUUUCUAUAUGUAACUUCUGAGUAAAACCAUAAAUAAAUCA
This 147-nucleotide unclassified non-coding RNA is filed under the name soil metagenome. RNAcentral describes it as "partial internal transcribed spacer 1". The record is from RNAcentral.